Molecule: long non-coding RNA, 1395 nt
Organism: Brassica oleracea var. oleracea
Lineage: Eukaryota; Viridiplantae; Streptophyta; Magnoliopsida; Brassicales; Brassicaceae
Exons: 3
Source: RefSeq, a predicted model, not a curated record
GUCUUUUUGACAUUCCACAAUUAUUUUCUUUUGAAAAAAACGUUCAUCCCUAUAUCAAAAUCUUUAAACGCAGAUCUGAUGAAACUUGCUCCAUCAACACAGAUCGUUAAAGUUUUAUUUAUCUACUUUGCAUGUCGAAUCCGAUGAAUGAUCUGCUUCAUCCGAGGUUGACUCUGUCUGAAAAGUCAUAUCUCAAUACAAAACAAAGAUCUGGAGCUAAAGGGUCCGGAAACAUCAAUCUCUUCAGGUCAAUAGCCUUAUUAAUGUGCUAAGACGUUGAAACCUUGUGGAUCAAAGACCACGAGUAACAUGCUCACACAUCACCUGAAACUUCUUGUUGUAACGAUAAGUCUUCAAGUUUUCUCACAUCUUUUAAAGUUGUAUGCUUUAAUAUAUUUCCGUUCAUAUUUAUAUUUUGGUAUCUGAUCUCUUUUUGAUUUUACUGACAACGGUUUGAAAAUUUGUAUCUAUACAUACUUGAGGACACAAUGUUUCGUACCUUCUAUGAUCUAUUAUUUAAUCAGACAUGUCGAUUGAAUAUAUUAGUGUAUGUAUUCAAGUGUUUGAUUAUUGGAUGUUGGAAUCUUUACUAAAUUGCAAUAUAUUUAUGUUUAAGAUCAAUAACAAAUAGUUUUCAUUUGUUUUGGCUACAUGUGUGAUUAAAAAAUGAUAUGUGAACUUCAUGAUUGGUUUGUUGUGAUUGCUAACACUCAUUAAUUGUCUCUUUGUUUGUUUAUUUUAAUAUUCCUGUGAUUGUAUUGAAUAUUGAUAUCUACAUUUAAGACUUCUGUCAUGUACUGUUAUUGUUUAGUUUAUUAGAUUAAGAUAAUUAGAAACUAUAAAAGGAUCUUCAGUCUUAAAUCUUCUAAGUGAUAUAUUGUUUGUUAUUCAGUAUAUGGCUCUCACCUCUUUUCAAUAUAGUUUGAUUAUUGUUCGAUGAACUUUUCUUCCCUGAUUUGUUUCAGGAGUAUAUUUUAAUUCCUUGUUUCAAGUUUCAAAAUAAAAUGAUUAUUUUAUUAGAACACACAUCCAAUGGAAUGUUUUAAUAGACCAAACAUGAUUAACCAUCUAAAACAUUGUGUUGCGAGAACACUUAUUAGAAAAAGAUAAAAUGAUAAAAAAUCUCCAUAACAUAAUAACUCCAGACACUGAUUCUCCUGCUUUAGUAUUCUUUUUUAUGCUCAGCUCGUCAUUGAUCAUCUUCUCAACCUUGAUUCUUUUCACAGGGCGAACCUUCGAAGUUGAUGUGGUGUCCGGAUGGUCUACAAUGCCAUCACAUGAUCGCUUAGAAGGAGUUGUCAUCUAGAGCUUUCAUCACUUUGAGUUAAAAGAGACCCCUAGAUAAUAGAUAAAUACAGAAAAUAUUUUAAUCACAUAUUUGAAAAUCUUAAAAUA